This 371-nucleotide ribosomal RNA is filed under the name uncultured organism. RNAcentral's name for it is "bacterial SSU rRNA". It matches the Rfam family "Bacterial small subunit ribosomal RNA", at positions 526 to 896 of the family's 1533-position model. The record is from RNAcentral.
CGUAGGGUGCGAGCGUUAAUCGGAAUUACUGGGCGUAAAGCGUGCGCAGGCGGUUUUGUAAGACAGGCGUGAAAUCCCCGGGCUCAACCUGGGAACUGCGCUUGUGACUGCAAGGCUAGAGUACGGCAGAGGGGGUGGAAUUCCACGUGUAGCAGUGAAAUGCGUAGAGAUGUGGAGGAACACCAAUGGCGAAGGCAGCCCCCUGGGUCGAUACUGACGCUCAUGCACGAAAGCGUAGGUAGCAAACAGGAUUAGAUACCCUGGUAGUCCACGCCCUAAACGAUGUCAACUAGGUGUUGGGUGGGUAAAACCAUUUAGUACCGGAGCUAACGCGUGAAGUUGACCGCCUGGGGAGUACGGCCGCAAGGUUA